RNAcentral lists this ribosomal RNA (515 nucleotides) under uncultured bacterium. RNAcentral describes it as "bacterial SSU rRNA". It matches the Rfam family "Bacterial small subunit ribosomal RNA", at positions 15 to 518 of the family's 1533-position model. The record is from RNAcentral.
GAUCAUGGCUCAGGACGAACGGCUGGCGGCGUGCCUAACACAUGCAAGUCGAGCGGAGACAUACGGCGGAUUGAAGUUUCGGAUGGAAAUGAAGAUGUAUGUUUAGCGGCGGACGGGUGAGUAACGCGUGAGCAACCUGUCCUUCACAGGGGGAUAACACAGCGAAAGUUGUACUAAUACCGCAUAAGACCACGGGACCGCAUGGUACUGGGGGUCAAAGGAGCAAUCCGGUGAAGGGUGGGCUCGCGUCCGAUUAGAUAGUUGGUGAGGUAACGGCCCACCAAGUCGACGAUCGGUAGCCGACCUGAGAGGGUGAUCGGCCACAUUGGGACUGAGACACGGCCCAAACUCCUACGGGAGGCAGCAGUGGGGAAUAUUGGGCAAUGGGGGAAACCCUGACCCAGCAACGCCGCGUGAGGGAAGAAGGUUUUCGGAUCGUAAACCUCUGUCCUUGGUGAAGAGUGAGAGACGGUAGCCAAGGAGGAAGCCCCGGCUAACUACGUGCCAGCCGCUGC